This 460-nucleotide ribosomal RNA is filed under the name uncultured bacterium. RNAcentral's name for it is "partial 16S ribosomal RNA". It matches the Rfam family "Bacterial small subunit ribosomal RNA", at positions 338 to 795 of the family's 1533-position model. The record is from RNAcentral.
CCUACGGGAGGCAGCAGUGAGGAAUAUUGGUCAAUGGACGAGAGUCUGAACCAGCCAAGUAGCGUGAAGGAUGACUGCCCUAUGGGUUGUAAACUUCUUUUAUAUGGGAAUAAUAUGUUCCACGUGUGGGAUUUUGUAUGUACCAUAUGAAUAAGGAUUGGCUAACUCCGUGCCAGCAGCCGCGGUAAUACGGAGGAUCCGAGCGUUAUCCGGAUUUAUUGGGUUUAAAGGGAGCGUAGGUGGAUUGUUAAGUCAGUUGUGAAAGUUUGCGGCUCAACCGUAAAAUUGCAGUUGAAACUGGCAGUCUUGAGUACAGUAGAGGUGGGCGGAAUGCGUGGUGUAGCGGUGAAAUGCUUAGAUAUCACGAAGAACUCCGAUUGCGAAGGCAGUUCACUGGACUGCAACUGACACUGAGGCUCGAAAGUGUGGGUAUCAAACAGGAUUAGAUACCCUAGUAGUC